This 640-nucleotide long non-coding RNA is filed under the name Androctonus crassicauda. Lineage: Eukaryota; Metazoa; Arthropoda; Arachnida; Scorpiones; Buthidae. The record is from RNAcentral.
AUACUUAUAAUAUAUUCUAUAACUGUUAAAAGUUAUAUAUAUAUAUAUACACACUUUAUCAAUGUGAAUAAUCAUUAUUCUCGCAAGAGGAUGAUCAGUACACAGAGUAGAAAAAUAAAGAAGAAAAAAUCCUCUCAAGCAAAUCAUUAAUCAAAUGAUGUCAUAUCUUUUAUCUAUACACAUCAUGAUAGCUUCCUCCACAUCAUUCUCUUCUUCGUACAAGUAUGCCUCUCAAUCAUAUUCUCAAAAGUUAUGCAUCCUCAAAUACUCAUCCAUUUGUUCUUGCUACUCUUUCCUUUGCCUCUACUCCCACAUUUACCAUCUACAUGCCCAGUGUAUAUUUGCUUCUUCAAUUACUCUUAACUCAUUUGCUUCUCAUGACUAACCCACUUUAAAAUUUUUCAAAUCAAACCUAUAAAGCAAGGGUGUCAAACUCAAAGGCUAACAUGGGCCAAAAAAAAAGGUUUUGAAUUUAGGUGGGCCGCAAAAAAACUUCAAUAUUCGUAGAAAGGUAGGUUUAUUUCGAAAAGUAGAAAAAUUAAAAAAGGACAAGGACAAUUUAAUGUUUUCUUCCUGACACUUGGCAUCACUUCUCUGCUACUAUCUUUCCUACUUCGGUAAAACAUUGCUCGCAAUGAUU